RNAcentral lists this ribosomal RNA (460 nucleotides) under uncultured bacterium. RNAcentral describes it as "partial 16S ribosomal RNA". It matches the Rfam family "Bacterial small subunit ribosomal RNA", at positions 338 to 795 of the family's 1533-position model. The record is from RNAcentral.
CCUACGGGUGGCUGCAGUGAGGAAUAUUGGUCAAUGGGCGUAAGCCUGAACCAGCCAAGUCGCGUGAGGGAUGAAGGUUCUAUGGAUCGUAAACCUUUUUUAUAAGGGAAUAAAGUGCGGGACGUGUCCCGCUUUGUAUGUACCUUAUGAAUAAGGAUCGGCUAACUUCGUGCCAGCAGCCGCGGUAAUACGGAGGAUCCGAGCGUUAUCCGGAUUUAUUGGGUUUAAAGGGUGCGUAGACGGCAUUUUAAGUCAGUGGUGAAAGUCUGUGGCUCAACCAUAGAAUUGCCGUUGAAACUGGGAUGCUUGAGUAUGUUAGAGGCAGGCGGAAUGCGUGGUGUAGCGGUGAAAUGCUUAGAUAUCACGCAGAACCCCGAUUGCGAAGGCAGCCUGCCGGGCCAUGACUGACGCUGAUGCACGAAAGCGUGGGGAUCAAACAGGAUUAGAUACCCGUGUAGUC